UUUUUUUUCCUUCUCCUCGUCUUUGUCUUCUCCGUGGAAUCCGCAUCUGCCUUCCCUAUUCGCCUCCUGCUCCUCCACAGUCUGCUCCCAUGCUCCUCCAUCCCCGUGUGCCCUCACCGCCAUGCCACUCCACCCCCGCGCCAAUCCUCUGCCACCGCUGCUGAGGGUGGGCUGCGGGGAGCGCGAGGAGAAGGUUUGUUUGAUAGAGAAAGGAACCGCGACGGCGCAAGUGGAUCCCGGCAGCGAGCUCCGGUUACGCGUCGGCCGGGGACGGCGGCAGCCGCGGCACGCAGUGCGGGCGCAGGCGGCGCUGGGAGACGGGCGAGCUCCAUUGAGUAUUCCAAUAUGACCCUUUAUUAAUGUUGGGCAGCUCCAUAAGUUUUAUGUAUAUGCUUAUGUGCUUUAAAAAACAUGAUUAAUAGAAUCUUUUUAAUAUGACCAGAAAAUCAAUACUAAGAAUUAGUUUGUUAGUCAACAAUACACAGUGUCUUACUAUACUACUUGAUAAUAGACAGUCCUGCUUGCCAUCUCAUCUCAUUUGAAGCGCAAAUGAAAACUUUCCUGUAAAUCCACCACCCAGUACUAAAUUUCUAUCCUGUUGUAGUUGGAAGAAAGGUGCAUGGUGUGCCUGUUGAUUCUUUUUCUUCGGAUUCUUUUUCAGAAGCACUCAAACACAUGCAUGCACAAGCAAAUCAUCUUAACUGCUGCUAUUUUCUAUUCUUUUAUGCUUGUGGUGCCACAGCUGGAUCAUGGAAGUGUUCAUUGACUAUGCUAUUUUGGAGAAUCAUCCAGGAUGCUCUCUAUAUUAUAUUGUAUUGUACUAGCUUUUGUGCAUCGGAUGGAGAAACAUAUAUCUGAAGGUUGAACCAUCACAUAGUAUAUUAGUACAUGUAUGGAAUAUUUGUUCUUUGAACGUUUUGAUUACUCUUUUAACGGAGAGACCAGUGUGUGUAAGAGUGGAUCAACAACUAUGGGAGCUUAACUAGCAUAGUAAUUACUUUCUAAAUAAUUAUUAGUAGAUAUGAAACCCUGAUUCAUUUAUAGAUUUUUUCAGGCCCUGAUCAUGUUGGGCUCCUUUGCCAGGGCCUGCAAGCUGCUAUAUGAGUAUAUGACCAUGUGUGUUGGUUUAGGAACAGGGGUUCCAUUUAGGCUGAAUGCUCUGGGGAUGAUGAGAAAAGCAGAGAAAACAUGUAGGCAUCAGAUGAUGUGGAAGCUGUGGGUAAUUGAUCUCCCGUGUAAGUGCUUCCAUGUAUCUAAAUUACUAGAACAAUCCAUCUCAAACAUGAAAUCUACGUGUCUUUUCCUCGCUUUGCAAAGUUGGGAAGUAUCUUUACCUGUGAGCUGUGAUGACAUGGUCCUAUCAAGGGAUGCAAAAAAAAAAAAGUGUGGUUUCAAAAAAGAAAACCACUUAAGCAGGAAUUGAUAUUCUCAUUAAAAAUACCUUCAGCUUUUGGAAACUUCCUAUGUGAUAUGUGCACUUCUAGGGGCCCUGGCAGGUUAGAAUUAUGUUGAUUUCAACUUUCUAGAUUUUGGAUAAGACUCAUGGCCUAUGUUUCAAUAGGAUAAUAUCACAAUUAUAAGCUCUUAUAUUUUUUUGUACAGAAAUUGAGAUUAUAAUGAUGCCCUUUAUUUCUUAUGGUACUGUUAACCGCCUCAAUGCCUUCAUCAGAUGCCUUCAUUCAUUCUUCUGCUCAUCAUCUUUGCCUGCUACUAAUUUUCCACGAGUUUUGAUCUAAAGGUUUUAGCAUUCUGCUCUCUUUCAACUAAAACUGGUAUGAGGAGAAACUGAUCCCUCUUUUCUGUGGCUCUGGAGGUCAUGCAGCCAACUAAAGCAGAAAAUCUUUUUCUGGUUACUCCUAAGGGACCGACUAAAUGUCAGAGGAAUGCUCUGAAGAACUAUGCAUCUAGAUGACUAUAGCUGUGUUUUCUGCUCCAAUCAAGAAGAUGAGACAAUUGUGCAUCUAUUCUUGGGCUGCCCCUUUGCAUAGCAAUGCUGGAGUAGCAUUGGCCUUCACAUUCAGUCUGAUUUGAGUCCCUUGGUACUCCUAGAAGAUCUACGUCAGCAAAUUGCAGAAUCCUUCUUUAUGGAAGUAAUCAUGCUCAUGUCUUGGAGUAUUUGGACAUCGCGCAACAACUUCAUAUUCAGGAAUGAAGUCUUCUCAAUCCAUGGGACCAAAGUUUGUUUCAUACGAGAAUUUGCCUUGGUUAUCCAUAGAGCAAAAAAGAAUUAUUUCCCAAGCAUUGUACAAUGGCUAGAGUCUCAGUCUUAGGUGUUAGUGCUUGACUUCUACUUUUCAGCUCUUUCUGUAUAAACACUCUCUGUACUCUCUUUUGUUUUUAAUACACAUAACCAGUAGGGGAUCACACCCCUCCUGUUACAUUAAAAAAAAACUGGUUACGAGAUCAAA
This is an RNA transcript of Panicum virgatum (switchgrass), 2408 nucleotides long. RefSeq lists it as uncharacterized. NCBI's taxonomy places the organism in Eukaryota, Viridiplantae, Streptophyta, Magnoliopsida, Poales, Poaceae. The record is from RefSeq and is a predicted model, not a curated record. The transcript is spliced from 2 exons.